CAACAACAACAUCGAAAAAUACCUUAGGAAUGGGAACCCAGGUUCGAAAUUUCCUCAAGACACCUGAUGAAGGCUGGAGGGUAUAUCAGCCGAAACGUUGUGUUAACAACAAACAAGAUAAAGACAAGUAUCCGUCAAACGUAACUGAUGUAAAUAAUUCCUCACCUCUUAAA
This is a long non-coding RNA of Octopus sinensis (East Asian common octopus), 173 nucleotides long. RefSeq lists it as uncharacterized. NCBI's taxonomy places the organism in Eukaryota, Metazoa, Mollusca, Cephalopoda, Octopoda, Octopodidae. The transcript has 3 exons. The record is from RefSeq and is a predicted model, not a curated record.